Molecule: ribosomal RNA, 279 nt
Filed under: uncultured archaeon
Lineage: Archaea
Description: partial 16S rRNA
Rfam family: Archaeal small subunit ribosomal RNA
Source: RNAcentral
GAGACCCACGCCCACAGUUGCCAGCGUACUCUCCGGAGUGACGGGUACACUGUGGGGACCGCCGCUGCUAAAGCGGAGGAAGGAAUGGGCAACGGUAGGUCAGUAUGCCCCGAAUAUCCCGGGCUACACGCGAGCUACAAUGGUUGGUACAAUGGGUAUCUACCCCGAAAGGGGAUGGAAAUCUCCUAAAGCCAAUCUUAGUCCGGAUUGAGGGCUGCAACUCGCCCUCAUGAAGCUGGAAUCCGUAGUAAUCGCGUUUCAACAGAACGCGGUGAAUGC